Molecule: ribosomal RNA, 252 nt
Filed under: uncultured bacterium
Lineage: Bacteria
Description: partial 16S ribosomal RNA
Rfam family: Bacterial small subunit ribosomal RNA
Source: RNAcentral
UACGUAGGUCCCGAGCUUUAUCCGGAUUUAUUGGGCGUAAAGCGAGCGCAGGCGGAUAGAUAAGUCUGAAGAUAAAGGCCGUGGCUUAACCAUAGUACGCUUUGGAAACUGUUUAACUUGAGUGCAGAAGGGGAGAGUGGAAUUCCAUGUGUAGCGGUGAAAUGCGUAGAUAUAUGGAGGAACACCGGUGGCGAAAGCGGCUCUCUGGUCUGUAACUGACGCUGAGGCUCGAAAGCGUGGGGAGCAAACAGG